Molecule: non-coding RNA, 740 nt
Organism: Ictalurus furcatus (blue catfish)
Lineage: Eukaryota; Metazoa; Chordata; Actinopteri; Siluriformes; Ictaluridae
Source: the annotation of a RefSeq genome assembly
UGUGUGUAUGUGUGCGUGUGUGUGUGUGCGCGCGUUUGUGUGUGUGUGUGUUCGCGUGCAUGUGUGUGUGUGUAUGUGUGCGUUUGUGUAUGUGUGUAUGUGUGUGUGUGUGUGUGUGUGCGUUUGUGUAUGUGUGUGUGUGUGCGUGCGUGUGUGUGUGUGUGUGUAUAUAUGUGUAUGAGACCACAUAUAAAGCCUGACCAUCAGAGCCAGUCUGCAGUAAACUCAGGAUGACACAGACGGUGAAAACCGCAUGCAGACUGUUUGUGAGCGUCGCUCUCACGGGGUGUGUGUGUGGAUUAAAUCUGAGCGUGUGGCAAACACCUCGAAAUAUAACUGCAGAGUCGGGAGAGCGAGUGACCCUCACCUGCCACUUCACACUCAGGACAUCAGAGAGAGGACGAUGGAGACUAGAGUGGAGGAAAAAUAACGACUCAGUAUUUCUAACUGAAAGUUAUAAUAUAUCUGAUAUAAACACUAACACUGUGACUGAAGUGAAUAAAUCUCACACACUGACGCUUCAUCCAGUGAAUGUGAGUGACAGCGGGAUUUAUUACUGUAAGGUGUGGCAGGAUGUUCCACGACUCGGACCAGAAACUGAGGGUGGAGGAACAGAGCUAACAGUGUACGACACUGUGAGAACCACCACCGCCUCCUCCGCCGCCCCCUCCGCCGCCCCCUCCACCGCCUCCUCCAUCACUCACACUGAUCAGGAUGUAACGUUACUGCAGGAGAACUAA